CGGACGGGUGAGUAACACGUGGAUAACCUACCUAUAAGACUGGGAUAACUUCGGGAAACCGGAGCUAAUACCGGAUAAUAUUUUGAACCGCAUGGUUCAAAAGUGAAAGACGGUCUUGCUGUCACUUAUAGAUGGAUCCGCGCUGCAUUAGCUAGUUGGUAAGGUAACGGCUUACCAAGGCAACGAUGCAUAGCCGACCUGAGAGGUGAUCGGCCACACUGGAACUGAGACACGGUCCAGACUCCUACGGGAGGCAGCAGGG
This 262-nucleotide ribosomal RNA is filed under the name uncultured Staphylococcus sp. RNAcentral describes it as "partial 16S ribosomal RNA". It matches the Rfam family "Bacterial small subunit ribosomal RNA", at positions 99 to 354 of the family's 1533-position model. Lineage: Bacteria; Bacillati; Bacillota; Bacilli; Caryophanales; Staphylococcaceae. The record is from RNAcentral.